Molecule: ribosomal RNA, 454 nt
Filed under: uncultured bacterium
Lineage: Bacteria
Description: SSU rRNA
Rfam family: Bacterial small subunit ribosomal RNA
Source: RNAcentral
AGAGCGAACGCUGGCGGCAUGCUUAACACAUGCAAGUCGCACGGGCGGGGGCAACCCUGUCAGUGGCGGACGGGUGAGUAACGCGUAGGUAUCUAUCCUUGGGUGGGGGACAACUGUGGGAAACUACAGCUAAUACCGCAUGAUGACCGAGGUCCAAAGCUCGCGAGAGCGCCUGGGGAGGAGCCUGCGUACGAUUAGCUAGUUGGUGGGGUAAAGGCCUACCAAGGCGACGAUCGUUAGCUGGUCUGAGAGGAUGAUCAGCCACAUUGGGACUGAGACACGGCCCAAACUCCUACGGGAGGCAGCAGUGGGGAAUAUUGGACAAUGGGCGAAAGCCUGAUCCAGCAAUGCCGCGUGUGUGAAGAAGGUCUUCGGAUUGUAAAGCACUUUCGACGGGGACGAUGAUGACGGUACCCGUAGAAGAACGCCCGGCUAACUUCGCGCCAGCAGCCGC